RNAcentral lists this ribosomal RNA (373 nucleotides) under uncultured organism. RNAcentral's name for it is "bacterial SSU rRNA". It matches the Rfam family "Bacterial small subunit ribosomal RNA", at positions 526 to 896 of the family's 1533-position model. The record is from RNAcentral.
CGUAGGUGGCAAGCGUUGUCCGGAAUUAUUGGGCGUAAAGGGCGCGUAGGCGGUACCCUAAGUCAGAUGUGAAAACCCGAGGCUUAACUUCGGAGGUGCAUUUGAAACUGGGGAACUAGAGUGCAGGAGAGGUAAGUGGAAUUCCUAGUGUAGCGGUGAAAUGCGUAGAUAUUAGGAGGAACACCAGUGGCGAAGGCGACUUACUGGACUGUAACUGACGCUGAGGCGCGAAAGCGUGGGGAGCAAACAGGAUUAGAUACCCUGGUAGUCCACGCUGUAAACGAUGGAUACUAGGUGUGGGAGGUAUCGACCCCUUCCGUGCCGCAGUAAACGCAAAUAAGUAUCCCGCCUGGGGAGUACGGCCGCAAGGUUG